UCGCACCUACCGAUUGGAUGGUCCGGUGAGAAUUUCGGAUUGUGGUAUUGUUUCUUUAAUUAGAAUCGAUGCCGUGAGAAUUUAUUCAAACCUUACCAUCUAGAGGAAGGUG
This 112-nucleotide ribosomal RNA is filed under the name uncultured eukaryote. RNAcentral's name for it is "partial small subunit ribosomal RNA". It matches the Rfam family "Eukaryotic small subunit ribosomal RNA", at positions 1676 to 1785 of the family's 1831-position model. The record is from RNAcentral.